RNAcentral lists this transfer RNA (73 nucleotides) under Stegodyphus mimosarum. It matches the Rfam family "tRNA". Rfam says of the family: Transfer RNA (tRNA) molecules are approximately 80 nucleotides in length. Lineage: Eukaryota; Metazoa; Arthropoda; Arachnida; Araneae; Eresidae. The record is from Rfam by way of RNAcentral.
GCCUUCGUGGUGUAGUGGUCAGCACGCUGGGCGCGUAUUCCAGAGGUCCGUGGUUCGAGUCUCGGCGAAGGCA